UACAGAGGGUGCGAGCGUUGCUCGGAAUCAUUGGGCGUAAAGCGCGUGUAGGCGGUCUCUUAAGUUUGGUGUGAAAGCCCAGGGCUUAACCCUGGAAGUGCACUGAAUACUGGGAGACUAGAGGGUAAGAGGGGAGAUUGGAAUUCCUGGUGUAGGGGUGAAAUCCGUAGAUAUCAGGAGGAACAUCAGUGGCGAAGGCGAAUCUCUGGCUUAUUUCUGACGCUGAGACGCGAAAGCGUGGGGAGCAAACAGG
Molecule: ribosomal RNA, 253 nt
Filed under: uncultured bacterium
Lineage: Bacteria
Description: partial 16S ribosomal RNA
Rfam family: Bacterial small subunit ribosomal RNA
Source: RNAcentral